Molecule: transfer RNA, 48 nt
Filed under: Sedum pumilum
Lineage: Eukaryota; Viridiplantae; Streptophyta; Magnoliopsida; Saxifragales; Crassulaceae
Also listed under: 7 other names
Description: Sedella pumila partial tRNA-Phe
Rfam family: tRNA
About the family: Transfer RNA (tRNA) molecules are approximately 80 nucleotides in length. Their secondary structure includes four short double-helical elements and three loops (D, anti-codon, and T loops).
Source: RNAcentral
GGUCGGGAUAGCUCAGCUGGUAGAGCAGAGGACUGAAAAUCCUCGUGU